This 472-nucleotide ribosomal RNA is filed under the name Stenomorpha subvittata. RNAcentral's name for it is "eukaryotic LSU rRNA". Lineage: Eukaryota; Metazoa; Arthropoda; Insecta; Coleoptera; Tenebrionidae. The record is from RNAcentral.
AGAGUACGUGAAACCGUUCAGGGGUAAACCUGAGAAACCCGAAAGGUCGAAAGGGGAGAUUCAGCGUGUCUCGAUUGCGGCGCUGGAUGGUCGUGCGACGGAAGACGUACGCGUCAUCCGCACCUUCCGUCCUCCGAACCGUAGUCGAACGCGUGCACUUCUCCCCCUGUAGGACGUCGCGAUCCGUUGGGUGCCGGUCUAAGGCCCGCAAUGGAGCCCGUUCGGGCGGUUUACCGCUCCGGACGAACUUGCGGUGUUUCCCGGUCGGCUCGCUCGACGGUAUACAGAUGGCGCGGGGCCGCUACACAUUAGUUAGCGUCCGACCGGCGGCAAGCGCGCUCGUCGUGACGGUGAUCGGACCUGGUGCCGGUCCUGUCCCCGAGUGGCUGUUCGCUGCCGUGUUCUCGGACAGACCUCGUCGAAACGCCGAUCUGCGACGCUAUAGCUUUGGGUACUUUCAGGACCCGUCUUG